UAGACAUAUAGAGUCUGUCAAGAUCUCUGAACACACGCAGUGAAUCUCCCGUUUCCAGCUGAAAACAUUUGUUAACAUUCUUGAUCUCCAUCAAGACAGGCCGCAGAAAGUGCAUGUACAUGCUGUUUGAUUUGUCGCUGUACAUUUCGUUCAGAAUCCUGGCCGCAUAGCCGUGCUCUUCUUUGCCGGAAGCCAAACUGAAGUGUAGCGGGUAAAAGUUAGCAGCAGGUUGGAUAUUCGCCGGAUAUUCAGUUUUGCAAUCGGAUUCAUCGAGAAGCCCCUGACUGCAGCCCGCAGACGGAGCCCACAUGGAGGGGGCGGGCACUCAGUCCACAUGGAGGGGGCCGGCCCUCCGCCCACAUGGAGGGGGCGGGCACUCAGUCCACAUGGAGGGGGCCGGCACUCCGCCCACAUGGAGGGGGCGGAUACCGACUCGGAUCUCGGAUCUGACGCCACGCCCGUCCACAUCGAGGGGGCGGCCACUCAGUUCACAUUGAGGACUGGUCAAACAGCAUGUGCAGCAUCUGAUCCCGUUUCUGACCUGAAAUUACCUGAAAUUAGAGUGUGCCCGCCCGAGCUAGUGAUGCCUAAAACAUGCAAAGACACGUCAGUGUAAUUGUGAAUGGCGAGAGCCCUGAAAUACAGCUGGACAGCAGCGGUCUACAUCACUGCCCCUUCUGCAGAUACAAAGGGUCAAAAUGUGAUAUCGACCAUCACAUUAAAUGCCAUGCCUCGGUUAAAUACAGAGGUCUGCAGAGGAGCUUUCAGGAAGCAGGAAGAGAAGACGGGAGGAAAAAAAGCUACAGGAUAAAGAUCUCUGCACAAAAAGGGCUAGAGUUGCUCCAACAGCAUCCAGCUCUGAAGGAUCAGGUCAUGUAUAGACUGUUAAUCCAGACAAAACUGAAGACCAGGAACUGGAACCUGGGAACCUGGAAGAUUAUGUUGUCCUGAAGGACACAAUUCAGGCAGCAGCAUGGUGCCAGUUACAGUCCUUCAAGGACAGCGUUUCUCUCCCAGAGGUCAUUGGGAUGGAAGGUUGGGAGCAGAUGGCAGCAUCAACACAGCGCAAAUCCCAUGACGGCGGGGAUGAGGAAGAAACGUGGAAACCAUUCCAAUUCUCAUUCAGAUUACAUACUGACUAUGAACUGUUCUGUGUGGAGAUGAUGGACAGGAGAAACCUGAAGGUGUUUGCCUCUUUUGAGUCAAACACCUCUCCCCCUCCCCGUCCCCCUCCCCGUGACGCCUGCGCCACACGACUCCAAUGUAGUCUGAUGAUGCAGCAUAAUGGCGGCGCUUGGCAGCUAUGGCGGCGGUGACGGCGAUGUCGGGCGACAGAGCGUGAAGCAAGAGUGGCAUCCACCUCACUGAGGAAGGCGUCAGUGUGUUCCCCCUUUGUUGUUUGACUUUGUUUGUUCUACUCUUUAUUGAUUUAUCUUUUAUGUUAAUAGUUUACAAUCUAUUUUUUGUAGUUGUUAUUUUUUAAUUGUUUUGUUGAAUAAAAAGACAGUUGUUAGUGCUCCUGUGAUUGGUGUAACUUAAUGUGCUUCACACAUGUAGCUUUUCAUUAUGUCUAUUGAGGUACAUUUUUUGCCCUUAGAUGUGGUCACUUCGUUAUUCCUCACAUUACAUCUGUUAAGGUCAUACCUUUGGGUCCCAGUCUUCAUAGUUCCCCAAAUCUUAUUUUGGCUCUUACUGGGCCUGUAACUCACAGACAGACGGGUACAGGAGUUCGGACACGUUGCAUUGUUUACAGGCAAGGGUGGAUUACCGCACGGGCACACCGGGCACAUGCCCAGGGGCCCAAGGGCGGCCCUAAGCCAGAGCUUCUGUGUGAAGUCGCUGUUAGUAACUUUUAAUGUUGCAUUGUCAAAGCAAUCAGUAGAGAAAUACAAAAAUUCAAGCGAAAACGGCAAUAGUAGGGCUAUUAAUACUGAGUAAAAAAAAAAAAAAGAUCACUAGGGGGCACUGUUUCACUUAGUGAAUUUGAGACAGGUCACGAACAAGGCACUGUGAUUUAAACAUUGAGCAACGGCGAACGGUAGUAACGUGAACUCUUAAGUGGAACCUUAAUAGGUCCAUGAGUGGAACAGUUAAGCGAAAAAAAAAUAAACAAGAGAAUAUGUAUUUGCAAGUCGUUUAGGCUAUGCUUAACUUUAUAAUAGUUCCAUGGUACGCAGCAAGAAAGAUACCAAGUCACAAUACUCCCGUACCAUCUGUUUGUAUAGUUUAAUUAACAGCAUGGGCUCCCGCUAGCUUAACAUAGUAUUACCGUUUCUUGCAUUAACAAGAGCAGCAGAAAUCUGCUCAAUCGUCAGUGGUCGGAGUGCCCGCCCCCUCCAUGUGGACUGAGUGCCCGCCCCCUCCAUGUGGGCGGAGGGCCGGCCCCCUCCAUGUGGACUGAGUGCCCGCCCCCUCCAUGUGGGCUCCGUCUGCGGGCUGCAGUCAGGGGUACUUGGAUUCAUCCGGCUUAAUCAACACAAUUGCACUAUAUUACGGGUGUAGUAUGUUGAGGACAGUAUAGGACAGCUUAUCGACAAAGAAUCACACCGAAAUUAGUUGUUG
RNAcentral lists this long non-coding RNA (2562 nucleotides) under Gadus morhua (Atlantic cod). RNAcentral's name for it is "lncRNA (ENSGMOG00000025139.1)". Lineage: Eukaryota; Metazoa; Chordata; Actinopteri; Gadiformes; Gadidae. The record is from RNAcentral.